CAAGAAUAGGUUGAUAGGAGGUGAAAUUCAUGAACUGAAUAAGUGGAGAUAUUUCAGAAAAGGCCUUAUAAGCAUCCAUCUUAAGCACACAAUCAAAUGGGGUGGGAAUUCUUGGCGGAAAAGAUGUGGAUGUACGAGGCAAAAGGAAAGGCAAUUGCAGAGCCUCUUUGAAGUAAAAAGCAGCCCUCUUGAAGGGUUUGCCAAUGGGAGAGAGCUGUUGAUUGAGCCGCGCCAAUAUCAUUUGCGCGUUUGAGAAAUGUCCGGCCAGUAAUAAUUCAGAGGCCUGAAAAAUCUGGUCAUAAAUAAACUGUUGUUCCUGUUGUUGAUGACGAGGCACCAUCACAUUACCAUUACCACCACCAGCAGCUGCUUCAAGCUUAGGUACAAUUAAUUGGAAAAGAUGUGGAUGUACAAGGCAAAAGGAAAGGCAAUAGCAGAGCCUCUUUGAAGUAAAAAGCAGACCUCUUGAAGGGUUUGCCAAGGGGAGAGAGCUGUUGAUUGAGCCGCGCCAAUAUCAUUUGCGCGUUUGAGAAUUGUCCGGCCAGUAAUAAUUCAGAGGCCUGAAAAAUCUGGUCAUAAAUAAACUGUUGUUCCUGUUGUUGAUGACGAGGCACCAUCAAAUUAC
This 625-nucleotide long non-coding RNA is filed under the name Nicotiana benthamiana. RNAcentral's name for it is "long non-coding RNA (NBEN_LNC017464)". Lineage: Eukaryota; Viridiplantae; Streptophyta; Magnoliopsida; Solanales; Solanaceae. The record is from RNAcentral.